Ochotona princeps (American pika) is the source of this 114-nucleotide ribosomal RNA. The record is from Ensembl. Lineage: Eukaryota; Metazoa; Chordata; Mammalia; Lagomorpha; Ochotonidae.
AUCUAUGGCUAUACCACCCUGAACACGCCCAAUCUCAUCUGAUCUCAGAAGCUAAGCAGGGUUGGGCCUGGACAGUACUUGGAUGGGAGAAACACAAAACUAAUCAGUUGGAUU